CUCAUCAGAGCCUCUGGAAGUGGAUUGGUAUCCCCUCUGCUCCCAGGAAUCCAGUAAAAGUAGCAUCUCUUCCUCAAAGAUGAGCCAGCCGUCAUUUGAAGAGGAGGAAAGACUGGAUUGGGGAAGAAUCUGGGGCAAAAUGAAGCCAAAUUGAGAACGAGGAGAAAAGAAGAUGCUAAGGCCGCAGAUAAGGAGUUCCAUCUCCCGGGCUGAUCCUGCUCCUCUGCGAUACGUUCUGCAGAUGGUCCUGUGUGGCCCAGUCUUCCAAAUGCACCUCUUCAGGGAUGCCCAUCCUCAGUUAGAGAAACGGGCUGUAAGUCAGAGAACUUGAACUUGACCCAGAGCAUGGCCAGACACAUCAGCUAUUCCCUACAUCACGUUUCUUUAAAAUAAAGCCUGCCAGCACAAGAGGCUUGUAGAGUUUGCCAUAGUACAUGUACCCAGGGCUCUGCUUUUGUUCACGAUUCUGUAUUCAUAUUGUGAUUUUAAUAGCUGCUAAUCAAAGAAAGAGGCUUUCUAGUCAUUGGUAAGCUGGCAAAGAGCAAAACAACCAAAUGCCUGACAAGCAGCUGGUAAGGAGGUUGUGCUGGAGAAAUAAACAUGCAAUUGUCUUCCCUUCCACAA
This 624-nucleotide long non-coding RNA is filed under the name Homo sapiens (human). RNAcentral describes it as "HSALNT0393300". Lineage: Eukaryota; Metazoa; Chordata; Mammalia; Primates; Hominidae. The record is from RNAcentral.